UCUCACUCCCUGCCGAUGUUUGAUGCUGCUGCUCCUUUCCUACAUGAGGUUCCUAACGAGAUGCAGCCUCAGUUCGCUGUCGACGUAAUGGUCCAGUUCGGUCUACCUCGCUGGAUAUUUCACACCAAAGGGUUUGGAUGUCCAUGAGGUUCUUACAGAAACUGCGACAACAGCUAUCAUUGGCGUUUCAUGGAGCUCAUCGAUGCUGCAGGAUGCAGAGGACCACCUGCAGAUGUGUUUUUAGAUAAUGGCCUACAUGUGCUUAGCAGGAAGUAUGAACUAUGAGGUGGAAAGAAAAUCU
Molecule: long non-coding RNA, 301 nt
Organism: Lolium rigidum
Lineage: Eukaryota; Viridiplantae; Streptophyta; Magnoliopsida; Poales; Poaceae
Exons: 4
Source: RefSeq, a predicted model, not a curated record